AUUAUUUUGGCAGAUUAGUGCAUUAGAUUUAGAAUCUACUUAUAUAAUUUUAUAUUAUAGAUAAUA
Molecule: transfer RNA, 66 nt
Filed under: Necydalis ulmi
Lineage: Eukaryota; Metazoa; Arthropoda; Insecta; Coleoptera; Cerambycidae
Description: tRNA-Leu
Source: RNAcentral